Molecule: long non-coding RNA, 6985 nt
Filed under: Brassica napus (rape)
Lineage: Eukaryota; Viridiplantae; Streptophyta; Magnoliopsida; Brassicales; Brassicaceae
Description: long non-coding RNA (BNAP_LNC000564)
Source: RNAcentral
UUUAACAACUACAUUAUUGAUAUCUUUACGAAUUAGUAUCACAAAUUUAGUGGUUAAUAAACUCUUAAUUUAUUAAAUAUUAGUUCCGAAUUCAAAUUUAAAUAUUAAUUUCAUAUUAAUUAAAAAGUUAAAUUACAAAGAUAAAUACAUAUAUAAAGUCAUCCAAGAGAGAAGAAAGGAGAGAGAAAGGUGAGCGAAAUUUGCUCUCUAGUACCCCCUUGUGGGAUCAAGUUGUAUCUUAUUGGGGCUCGUGUAAAAGCAGAUCUAGGUGGAGUGUAAACAAAUCUCACACGUUUCCUUUCCGAAAGUUCAGUACUUUUUCACUAUUUUACUUUAUUUUGCUUGGGAAAUUAAAGAAUUAAGUGUUUCUACCCAACUGUUCUUCAAGCUUUGAAGUCCGGUGGUUGAACAAUUAAUUGAGAUCUGAGAACUGAGGGGCUUUAUAACGAAAAUUCAAGAUGUCUGCUGCUAUGGAUAGAGCUCUUAUGGCUCUAUCACUGGAGGAAGAAGAAGAAGAUGUUCCGUUCACGAUGCCAGAGCUGCCGGGCUUUAGUUCAGCGGAAGAAAACUCACUUAGCAUCAUAGGAAGAACGCUCUACCCGGAACAACAAAAAAUUUCAGGGUUGAUUCUCACCAUGCCACGAAAAUGGCAAAAAGAAGGAAGGGUUAGAGGAGUGGCUCUGUCAGAUGAAAAGUUUCAGUUCAUUUUCAGAACUGAACACGACCUUCUGGAUGUGCUGGAGAAAGGAGUACAAACAUUUAAUGAUUGGGCUAUUGUACUAGAGAGAUGGGUAGAGAAUCCCCCUGAAGACUACUUGCAAUACAUUCCUCUUUGGGUACAGAUUAGCAAAAUCCCAGUAAACUACUACACUCAGGCUGCGCUGAUGUCCCUUGGCGAAAUGAUCGGAGAAGUAAAGGUUUUGGCCUUUGACCCUACUAAGCCGAUUACACAACCUUUCAUCAGAGUUCAGGUACGCUUCAACGUAGCCAAACCGCUGAGGAUGGCAAAAGUGCUGAAUAUGGGUGAAGGAAGAACUCACAUCAUCCACUUCGACUACGAGCAGCUUCAGAAACGCUGCUACACCUGCAAGCGACUUAAUCAUGAAAAGAGCAUCUGUCCUUUGGAGGUUAAGAAAAGACAGGAAGCAGCUACGUUGAGAAGGGAAAAGAUCAUAGCGGAGAAGACUAAACCGACCACGGUUUUGAUACAGAGUGACCCGCUUUUUGGAGUUCUUGAAGAGGAGCAGGUUGGUCUUAACCCGCUCACGGGGAGACCAAAAAUUACGACUGAGGUGCUGGAGGAGAUGAGGAGAUUCCUCAUGGCUGAUACAGGUGAAUCGUUGGCAAUUAAGAUUGACAAAGUGAAGAAGUCGGUUGCUGAGACAGAGCGUGACCCGAUUCUCCAAAAGACAGUUCUCCGCCUGGAAGCUGCACCGAUCAUCACCACAAACCUCAACAAAGGCAAAGGCCACAUCUUUGAUUUCAGCGACCAGGAGAUUGUUAGAGGUGAAUGGGACGUAAACGUCAACUCAGACAAGCUUAUGGCAGCUUCUAUGAGGGCAAAUAGAAGCUCUUCUCACCAGUCCCCUCUGUUGCUUUCCAGUAAAAGCUUUAUUGAUGAUCCUAAGGGUGAGACAAUGGGUGCUUUUUCUAACAGUCCUACGGUUUUCAGAGCUGGUUCUUUAACACCAUGCUUUACCGGGACAGUUAAGAAAAGGAUCACUAACAGGAGGAGACCACCAAAACUCCAGCGACAAAGAAACAAGUUGGCGCCCUCAGAACUUUCAAAGAAAGGGGAUGAAGACAGAAGAGAAGGCAAACAAGAAGUUGGGUCUAGAAAAAGGAAGAAGACUAACCAGGGAACAGAGGCUGUUUCCACCAGCAAGGCGCAAUGCCUUAAGGUGAUCCCGUAUGAGGGAUCGCCCUCUCCUCAAUGAGCCUUUUGAGUUGGAAUUGUCAAGGCUUGGGGCGGCCUCAAGGCUUGACAAUUCAGAGGCUUCGGGAGAUGCGUCAAGACUUUUUCCCGGAGAUUUUAUUUUUGAUGGAAACAAAAAAUUGUCGGAAUGCUUUAGUUGACUUGCAAGUGUGGUUGGGUUAUGAAGGGGUUUUUACUAUUGAUCCAGUGGGAUUAAGUGGUGGCCUAGCUCUUUUUUGGAAGAAAAAUAUUAAAAUCAAUGUGAAAUUUGCGGAUAAGAAUGUUAUAGACUCCUUUGUACAGUUUGGGGAGUUUAAGUUUUUUCUUUCUUGCAUUUACGGUGAACCUUCAUCUGAAGGCAGAGAAGUGGUUUGGGAAAGGCUUAGCAGAUGGGGAACGGCCAGGAAGGAGCCUUGGUGCUUAAUUGGAGACUUCAAUGAGAUACUUAAUAAUGGUGAAAAAUCUGGAGGCCCUAGAAGAUCAGAAGGGUCCUUUAAGCCUUUUGCUGAGAUGUUACAGUGCUGUGGUAUGGAGGAAUUCACCAGUAAAGGAGACAGAUUUACUUGGGGUGGAACAAGGUGGAAGAAAUGGAUCCAGUGCUGCUUGGAUCGCAGCUUUGGCAACAAAGAGUGGCUGGCUCUCUUCCCUGAAUCAAACCAAAACUUUCUUGAGAAGAGAGGUUCAGACCACCGGCCAGUUUGGCUUAGAUUAAAUGCAGCAAAGGAAUCCUUUAAAGGUCUCUUCAGAUUUGAUAAAAGACUCAUGCGUCACCCUGAAGUUGUAAAAGAAAUUGAGAAUUCUUGGAAGGAAAGAACCAGGAAUGGAGGGGACAGUGUCUUUGUCAAAAUCAGAAAGUGCAGAACUGUUUUAAGUAAAUGGAAGAGGCAAAGGCAGUUCAAUGCAAAAGACAAGAUCAAUCUCCUCCAACAAAAGCUUGAAUGGUUUCAAACACGGAACUUUCCUUGUCGAUUCAUGAUAGAUGCAGUGCAAAAGGAGUUGUUAAUUGCCUACAAAGAUGAGGAAACUUUCUGGCGACAGAAAAGUAGAGAUAAAUGGUUAGUCUUCGGGGACAAAAGCUCUAAGUUUUUUCAUGGCUCUGUAAAAACAGCUAGGUCCAGAAACCAUGUAGCAAAACUGAAAAACAAGAUGGGGCAAGAGCAGUGGUCAGAUAGUGCUAAAGCGGAGGUUGCGGUGGAGUACUUCAUGGAUCUUUUCACUUCCUCCAAUCCAAAAUCAUAUGAACCUGCAUUUGCGAGCUUCACUCCAAAGGUCUCUGCGACAAUGAACAUAAACCUGACCAGAAGUGUGUCAAAAGAAGAGAUCACAGAAGCAAUCUUCUCCAUUAAGGCUGACAGUGCGCCCGGCCCCGAUGGAAUGACAGGAGCUUUUUUCCAAAAGUAUUGGGGGAUCAUUGGAGACCAAGUGUCUAAGGAAAUCCAAGAAGUUUUUGAAACAGGAAUCAUGCCCAAGGAGUGGAACUUCACAUAUUUAUGUCUCAUUCCAAAGAUCCCACAUCCGGAGGAAAUGACUGAUCUGAGGCCGAUAAGCCUCUGCUCGGUGCUCUACAAAGCGGUCUCUAAGAUUCUCGUCAAAAGGAUCCAACCCUUUCUGAACUCAUUGGUGUCACUCAAUCAAUCAGCCUUCGUUGCAGGAAGAAAUAUUUCUGACAACAUUGUCAUCGCUCACGAGGCUGUUCAUGCGCUGAAAGUUCACCCUACCGUCUCUAGAGAAUUCAUGGCCGUUAAAACGGAUAUGUCCAAGGCGUAUGAUCGCGUUGAAUGGGAUUAUUUGAGGAAUCUCUUGCAAGCGCUGGGGUUUGAUCAGAAAUGGAGUGAUUUGGUGAUGUCGUGUGUGUCUUCAGUAACGUUCUCUGUACUCAUGAAUGAUCAACCCUUCGGUUUGAUAACUCCCCAAAGAGGGUUGAGACAAGGAGACCCCCUCUCUCCUUUCUUAUUCGUUCUCUGUACUGAAGGGCUCACUCACCUGAUGAAUGUAGUCGAAAGAAAUGGCCUGAUCAAUGGUCUGCAGUUUUCGGAGGAAGGGCCUGCAAUUCACCACUUGUUAUUUGCUGAUGACAGCUUAUUUAUGUGCAAAGCCUCACAGGAGCAAGCUACUGCUUUACACAGAAUCCUACAGUUCUAUGGAGAGGCCACAGGGCAGAACAUUAAUUUGAGGAAAUCAUCGAUAACCUUUGGGGUAAGUGUGGAAGAGGAGGUUGGUGAAGAAAUUAAGGACAUUCUGGGAAUCACCAAGGAGGAAGGCGCCAGUAAAUACCUAGGCUUGCCAGAAUGUUUUUCAGGUUCUAAAGUAGAGAUGUUGUCAUACAUCAAAGAUAAAACACAAGGAAGACUUGAGGGUUGGUACCUGAAACAUCUGUCUCAAGGAGGUAAGGAGGUUUUACUGAAAUCAUCAGCAGGGGGAAUUCCGGUCUUUGCCAUGUCUGUUUUCCAGUUCCCAAAGAAGUUGGUUGCGAGCUUGAUAAGUGUGAUGGCAGACUUUUGGUGGGGAGCUGAUGUCCAUAAGAACAAGAUGCAUUGGGUAUCUUGGGAGAAGAUGUGUAUGCCGAAAAAUCUGGGAGGCAUUGGGUUCAGAGAUCUGGAAUGUUUCAACCAAGCGCUACUUGCCAAACAAGCGUGGAAAGUGUUAAGUCAACCCCAAUCUCUCCUUUCCAGGUUUCUUAAGAGCAGAUACUUCAAGGAGAGUGAAUUCCUAUCGGCCAAGUUGGGAUAUAGACCAUCCUAUGCUUGGAGGAGUUUAUUGUUUGGGAGGGAUCUGAUGCAAAAAGGGCUGAGACACAGGGUCGGUGAUGGAAAGUCUACAAGGGUGUGGUUAGAUAAAUGGGUUAAUGAUCCAGAGGAAGGGCUCAGAGCCCCGUGGAUUAAAAAUCCAACCUUUGAUGUUAACUUGAUGGCAUUUUCACUCAUUGACCCUGCAACUAAGAGGUGGAAUGUAGAAAGUUUGGAAGAGGUCUUCGUGCGUAAAGACAUUGAGCUGAUUUUACAGAACCAACCUGUCGUGGAAAGGGAGGAUUUUUUUACUUGGAAGUUCAACAAAAGUGGAGAUAUGACAGUGAAGUCUGCAUAUUGGCUGGCUUCAACAGUUAAGGCCAAGGAAAAGAAUCCGGAAGCGUACAGAGAGCCCUCGACUAAUGUCCUCAAGGAGAAAGCUUGGCAAGUUAAAACAGUACCUAAAAUCAGAGUUUUCUUAUGGAAAGCUCUAAGUGCUGCACUUCCUACGGCGGAUUUGAUCAGUGCUAGAGGUAUGAGGGUUGAUAGUAGAUGCCAAACUUGUGGUGAAGAGAUGGAAUCGAUCAAUCAUAUGUUGUUUAGAUGCCCUUUUGCUAGGCUGGUAUGGGCUAACUCGUCCAUCCCUGAGCGUAAUGGGGGUUUUGAUGAUGGCUCGAUUUUCACAAAUGUGAACUUCCUGUUCAGUCUCAGGGACUCUAAACGGGUAACAGAGGAAGAUCAAAGAGCUUGGCCAUGGAUCAUGUGGAAUAUGUGGAAGAGAAGGAAUGAGGUUCAUUUUGAAAACAGAUGCCUUAGCGCGAGUGAUUUGAUCCAUAAAUCUGUUCAGGAAGCUAACGAAUGGUUCACAGCUCAAGAAACAGAGGCGGAAUGGGAAAAGGCUCAAACCCCGGUGGUUGUUUCUUCAAAGAAAAAAUGGACGCCUCCUGAACCUGAUUGGGUUAUGUGUAAUGUUGGAAUGGAGUUCUCUAAGAAUAACCAUUGUGCAGGAGGAGCGUGGGUUCUAAGAAAUAACAGAGGGGUUGUGAUGUGCCAUAGUAGGAGAGCCUUUUCGGGGAUUAUGAGCAGAGAUGAUGCGAAGCUGACGAUUGUUCUUUGGGCCUUGGAAAGUAUGAGAAGCCAGAGACAAUCCAACAUCAUUUUCGCUGGAGAAUUUGGUGAGUUGUUCGGUGCCUUACAACGGCCUCAAGCGUGGCCAUCCUUCUCCUACCAAUAUUCGUUAAUGGAGAAGGAAUUGGAAGGGGUGAUGAACUGGAAGACUAAGGUGGUUACCAGAGAAGCAAAUAGAGGGGCUUUUUUCAUUGCUCAAAGUGUCAUCAAGUAUGGUUUGACAAACUCAUAUGUGGCCAAAGGGCACCCAUCUUGGUUGGAUGAGCUCUUUGUCAAUGAAAGUCGAUCCCUCUGAUUGUUGCUGAGAUGGUAGAUGGCUUUUUGAGAGAGAUUGAAGGUGGCUCAGAGCUAUUGAAGAGCACAGGGAAAAAGGAUGAGCUAUAUUGUGUUGGUUGCUCGGUUGUUUAUGGUUUUUUGGUUAUUAUACCCGACUCAGUUUUCACUGGUGGGAUGUUUGUUAUGGUUUUUGUAACUGGAUUAUGGUGUUAGGGCCAGUUAAAUUCAAUGAAAUCUCCUUGACGGAAAAAAAAAAAAAAAAGAUAAAUACAUAUAUAUAUAUACAAAAAUACACCAUCAUCGUCUCUAUGAGUUCAUCCACUGCACGGGUUCCGCCACCGCAUUCUCCACCGGCUCCGGCACAACGACGAGGCACCACGUAGACUCGGAGUGAUUCCAUCUGAAGCGACGACUGGAUCUGGUUGUGGAGCGACCAGUGUUGGUCUGAUACACACGGACUCGGCCGUUCCGAUCCGAUCUGUUACGUCACAACCACCACCGGCACGUCUUCUGCGUCACGCCACAAUUUCUCCUCCCCUUUUCAUCACUGCUACUUCUUCUCAGAUCUGUAAACAAAACAAAAAACCAGUUAGAAAUUGUAUAAUAAGAUGAAGAGAAAGAAAGAACACCAAGAGAAAUGAAAGAAGAAAAAGAAAAAAAGUAGCGAUGAGGGGAGAGUAGAUAAAAGGAAGACGAAGAGAAAGCCUGAGAAAAUUCAAUCUUUGAAACUAACGAUGAGAAAGCACAGAGAAGAGAAAGAAAAGAAGAAGUAGAAAAAUUUUAAACGUGAUUAUAUCGUGACCAUUAGUUUUACUGAUAUCAACGGUGGAUAACUAACAAAGGUCAAUCCUUCCCUUUGUGAAUUAACCAAUCAGAAACAACCUCUUAAAUUAUUAUUAAUUUUUUAUCAGUCAAAUUAUGCUACUAAUGUGCAACUACC